This 1065-nucleotide ribosomal RNA is filed under the name Salmonella enterica. Its description in RNAcentral is "bacterial SSU rRNA". It matches the Rfam family "Bacterial small subunit ribosomal RNA", at positions 71 to 1129 of the family's 1533-position model. The record is from RNAcentral. Lineage: Bacteria; Pseudomonadati; Pseudomonadota; Gammaproteobacteria; Enterobacterales; Enterobacteriaceae.
GGAAGCAGCUUGCUGCUUCGCUGACGAGUGGCGGACGGGUGAGUAAUGUCUGGGAAACUGCCUGAUGGAGGGGGAUAACUACUGGAAACGGUGGCUAAUACCGCAUAACGUCGCAAGACCAAAGAGGGGGACCUUCGGGCCUCUUGCCAUCAGAUGUGCCCAGAUGGGAUUAGCUUGUUGGUGAGGUAACGGCUCACCAAGGCGACGAUCCCUAGCUGGUCUGAGAGGAUGACCAGCCACACUGGAACUGAGACACGGUCCAGACUCCUACGGGAGGCAGCAGUGGGGAAUAUUGCACAAUGGGCGCAAGCCUGAUGCAGCCAUGCCGCGUGUAUGAAGAAGGCCUUCGGGUUGUAAAGUACUUUCAGCGGGGAGGAAGGUGUUGUGGUUAAUAACCGCAGCAAUUGACGUUACCCGCAGAAGAAGCACCGGCUAACUCCGUGCCAGCAGCCGCGGUAAUACGGAGGGUGCAAGCGUUAAUCGGAAUUACUGGGCGUAAAGCGCACGCAGGCGGUCUGUCAAGUCGGAUGUGAAAUCCCCGGGCUCAACCUGGGAACUGCAUUCGAAACUGGCAGGCUUGAGUCUUGUAGAGGGGGGUAGAAUUCCAGGUGUAGCGGUGAAAUGCGUAGAGAUCUGGAGGAAUACCGGUGGCGAAGGCGGCCCCCUGGACAAAGACUGACGCUCAGGUGCGAAAGCGUGGGGAGCAAACAGGAUUAGAUACCCUGGUAGUCCACGCCGUAAACGAUGUCUACUUGGAGGUUGUGCCCUUGAGGCGUGGCUUCCGGAGCUAACGCGUUAAGUAGACCGCCUGGGGAGUACGGCCGCAAGGUUAAAACUCAAAUGAAUUGACGGGGGCCCGCACAAGCGGUGGAGCAUGUGGUUUAAUUCGAUGCAACGCGAAGAACCUUACCUGGUCUUGACAUCCACAGAAGAAUCCAGAGAUGGAUUUGUGCCUUCGGGAACUGUGAGACAGGUGCUGCAUGGCUGUCGUCAGCUCGUGUUGUGAAAUGUUGGGUUAAGUCCCGCAACGAGCGCAACCCUUAUCCUUUGUUGCCAGCGAUUAGG